Molecule: ribosomal RNA, 460 nt
Filed under: uncultured bacterium
Lineage: Bacteria
Description: partial 16S ribosomal RNA
Rfam family: Bacterial small subunit ribosomal RNA
Source: RNAcentral
CCUACGGGGGGCAGCAGUGAGGAAUAUUGGUCAAUGGGCUUACGCCUGAACCAGCCAAGUCGCGUGAGGGAAGACUGCCCUAUGGGUUGUAAACCUCUUUUGUCAGGGAGCAAUUGGCGCUACGUGUAGCGUUAUCGAGAUUACCUGAAGAAAAAGCAUCGGCUAACUCCGUGCCAGCAGCCGCGGUAAUACGGAGGAUGCGGGCGUUAUCCGGAUUUAUUGGGUUUAAAGGGUGCGUAGGCGGAAGGCCAGGUCAGCGGGAAAAUCGCGGGGCUAAACCUCGCUGCGCCGUUGAAACUGGCGGUCUUGAGUAGGCGAGAAGUAUGCGGAAUGCGUGGUGUAGCGGUGAAAUGCAUAGAUAUCACGCAGAACUCCGAUUGCGAAGGCAGCAUACCGGCGCCCAACUGACGCUGAAGCACGAAAGCGUGGGUAUCGAACAGGAUUAGAUACCCCUGUAGUC